UACGUUGCAGUAAUAAAAUCAACAUAAGUCUAGGGACUAAAUGUCUGAAAAAGAAAGCUGCAGGAAAACAAAAAUAGUUAUCCCACUACCUAAUCAAAAGAUCAGUGAGAUAUGGAAUACAACUGCUUCCAAAGAAUUAAAAAAGAGUAUCAUGAAGAGGACAUUGAAGAAGUAGGAUGUGCAGAUUUCAACAUAUAACCAAAUAGGAACUCCAAAAAAGAAUAAAAGAUGUCAUCAGGAAACUGUAUGAAAGGAAGAGAAGAUGGGCUGAUCACAUGAGACAACAGGUGUUAUAUUACUACUCCCAAAUGAUAGGGGAACCCUGAACUGAUGCAGUGAAGUACGUAAAACAAUUUCUAUAAUAACAACAAUAAUGUAAAGAUAAAUAACUUUGAAAGACUUAAAAACUCUGCUCAACACAAUGACCAAUCACAAUUCCAGAAGACUCAUGAUAAAACAUGCUCCCAAUCCUGAUCGAGAGGUGAUGAACUCCGAGUGCAGACUGAGACAUACUUUUUGGACGUGGCCAAUGAAGGAAUUUAUUUUGCUUGACUGUUCACAUUUGUAACAUGGGUUUUGUUUUUCUUGUUUUCUCAAUGGGGCCUAGAAGGAUGGCGGGAUGUCAGAUGGAAAGAAGGAACUUCAUGAAAAUAAAAUAAAAUUUUAAUUUAAAAUG
Molecule: non-coding RNA, 676 nt
Organism: Phascolarctos cinereus (koala)
Lineage: Eukaryota; Metazoa; Chordata; Mammalia; Diprotodontia; Phascolarctidae
Source: RefSeq, a predicted model, not a curated record